RNAcentral lists this ribosomal RNA (460 nucleotides) under uncultured bacterium. Its description in RNAcentral is "partial 16S ribosomal RNA". It matches the Rfam family "Bacterial small subunit ribosomal RNA", at positions 338 to 795 of the family's 1533-position model. The record is from RNAcentral.
CCUACGGGAGGCAGCAGUGAGGAAUAUUGGUCAAUGGCCGGACGGCUGAACCAGCCAUGCCGCGUGAAGGUCAGUGCCCUAUGGGCGUUAAACUUCUUUUGUGCGGGAGCAAUAAUGGUCACGUGUGGCCAGACGAGAGUACCGUACGAAUAAGCAUCGGCUAACUCCGUGCCAGCAGCCGCGGUGAUACGGGGGGUGCAAGCGUUAUCCGGAUUUAUUGGGUUUAAAGGGUGCGUAGGCUGUGAGGUAAGUCAGCGGUGAAAUGCCCCCGCUCAACGGGGUGAAGUGCCAUUGAUACUGCCGUGCUGGAAUGCGGAUGCCGUGGGAGGAAUGUGUGGUGUAGCGGUGAAAUGCAUAGAUAUCACACAGAACACCGAUUGCGAAGGCAUCUCACGAAUCCGCGAUUGACGCUGAUGCACGAAAGCGUGGGUAUCAAACAGGAUUAGAUACCCGUGUAGUC